Molecule: long non-coding RNA, 405 nt
Organism: Helianthus annuus (common sunflower)
Lineage: Eukaryota; Viridiplantae; Streptophyta; Magnoliopsida; Asterales; Asteraceae
Exons: 4
Source: RefSeq, a predicted model, not a curated record
GUGCGAGCCAGGGGAGGAAGAAGGGGGAACCCAAAAACCCUAACUACUUGAAUCAACAAAUUGAGCCACGAUUUGAAGGAAAAUUCGAUGCAUGAGCCACUUUUUCUGAAAAUCUAACCCUAACUAGUGAAGUGGGUCAAAGAAAAGAGGAGAAUCAAGCCAAGCAAAGGCAAUAGGAGCGCACAACUCCGGGUCAAAGAAAAGAGGAGAAUCAAGCCAAGCAAAGGCAAUAGGAGCGCACAACUCCGGUAAAUCCUCAACUUAGGCGACUUGGCGAAAUGGAGCGAGCACGUGUCCAUGUCAUGUUAUCCCAAACGCUUCCGCUAACUUAUGUUCAUCUUUAUGGUCCAUAACUUGUUAUUUUGUCCAACUUUGUUAGUAGUCGUACAUUUGUAAAGCUUGUCG